Molecule: long non-coding RNA, 261 nt
Organism: Nanorana parkeri
Lineage: Eukaryota; Metazoa; Chordata; Amphibia; Anura; Dicroglossidae
Exons: 3
Source: RefSeq, a predicted model, not a curated record
UUGUAAAAAAAGCUUAGCCGUGUGUUGUCCUUUCAACCACCUUUGGAAAUGUCAAUGAUCGUGGAGACGAUGGGAUUCUUCUUUGGGGUCAUAGGCUCCGUCUUGUUGGGCAUCACUCUCUUCAACGCCAACUGGAGGGUGUCUUCGGUGGAUGGAAACGUCAUCACCACCUCCACCUUGUUCGAGAACCUGUGGAUGAGCUGCGCCACCGAUUCCACCGGCGUGUACAACUGCCGAGACUUCCCGUCCUUGCUGGCGCUG